Molecule: transfer RNA, 83 nt
Filed under: Lentinula boryana
Lineage: Eukaryota; Fungi; Basidiomycota; Agaricomycetes; Agaricales; Omphalotaceae
Description: tRNA-Ala
Rfam family: tRNA
About the family: Transfer RNA (tRNA) molecules are approximately 80 nucleotides in length. Their secondary structure includes four short double-helical elements and three loops (D, anti-codon, and T loops).
Source: RNAcentral
GGGCACAUGGUGUAGUUGGUUAUCACAUCCGCUUAGCAUAAUUAGCUUGCGGGGGGUGCUGGGUUCAAUUCCCAGUGUGUCCA